AGCAUAUAAGUGAGUCAUGGAAUAAAAUGCAUUUCUGGGUUACCAAAAGACUUUAGCCACACAAAUAAGUAGAGCACAGUUUGCAGCCGUGCGAUGUAGCAAAAGGUUUAACAACGGGCAGUUGAUAUAUACAAAAGAGUAGGUUUUUCUUCUGCCACUACACAUUACAAGUUGCUAAGGAUGAACAUCCGGGGAGGAAAGGUAACAAGCACGAUUUUAAGUGAGAUGCAUUCACGUUGGCCGCCAGCAUAUCAAAAGCGUGAUAAGCGUAGCAUCCUGAUCAAAGUUAACCUGAAAUACAAUUGGACAAUAUUACCAAAAGAAUACACAGAGUAAAAAACUAUACAAAAUACUGAUAAAACUAUAUUAAUAAAGAUGAGACAUGCAAACUAUGAAAUUUGAAUUGAUUAGUUACUAAGGCAAAUAAAUUGUUCAUUUGUUCAACCAUAAUGUUCAUCAUUGUGAUACACAUUUGUUAGAACAGUACCAUAGAUCAUAAACUCAAAGGUCAAUCAUCACAGGACAAAAAAUAUUCAUGUUUAAAAUAUGCCAUGUAAGCCAACUUAAAAUACAAUUGAGCAUCAUGUCUUGAAGUCCAUAUAUCCAGUCUACUCAUAAGUUUUCUUUUUAGAGAGACGUUAGUUUCCAACCACCCAACAAUCUUCACAAUCCAAAACAAUCAAAAAUUCACAUCCAUGUGCUCAUGAGUCACAUAUAUGAUUUUUAAGAAUUAGACAUAAACCAAAAUGUGAAGCACUACCAUCACAUGUUUUCAGUAUUAACAAAUGUGUUGUGGUGUAAUUCAAAUACUUAUCUACCAGCAAAUAAGGUAUACUAACAAUGUACAUUCACCUGUGAAAUAUGGAAUUGCUUUUUAUUACUGUGAUUAGGAAGAAGCCAACACUGAACCAAAAAAUUAAUAGAACAUGUACAAUUUUGAAGGGCUAUUUUGAAACAACAUUUUUUUUGCAAAAAAAGAGAACGAAAUAGUAGUGGGCAUCAUAGUUCACAGUACAUAACUGUUUUGAUAUGAGAUAAAAGACAUGUACCUUGGCAGGUUUGUGUAGGCAAAUCGUUAGCGAUGUUGCAUACAAAAGUAUGUACCACAUCUCCCCCAUCCAACUAACAUAUACGACAACUUGAGAAAAGUAGAAAUAGAUGAUAACCCUGAAUUACACAUGGCUGCAACUGUGAAGGCAAAAGUUCCACGUUCCUACACCAGCACCUAAUUAUCUUUCUCAUCACUGAAAAGAGAGCAGACACAAUUGUAGUCAAACAGAAAGAUGCAUAUAUGUUUGAUAUAUCAAAUUAUAAAAAAAUGGAAAACCUCGACCCCCAACUUGAGAGCUUACAAUACAUGUAAAGUAUAGACAAGACGAAUUCAGUGCCAUUAGCUACGGCUAGAAAUAGUCUAUGCAUAGUCCAAAAGUGCCUUCUAAGCUUGAUCUAAGGUAAAUAACAUGUCCAGUUGAGUACUGGCAUGUGACUUUACACUGGUGCUCUCUUUUCUAAAUUUAUUAUUAUUAU
Molecule: long non-coding RNA, 1527 nt
Filed under: Zea mays
Lineage: Eukaryota; Viridiplantae; Streptophyta; Magnoliopsida; Poales; Poaceae
Description: long non-coding RNA (ZMAY_LNC001167)
Source: RNAcentral